RNAcentral lists this ribosomal RNA (550 nucleotides) under uncultured bacterium. RNAcentral's name for it is "bacterial SSU rRNA". It matches the Rfam family "Bacterial small subunit ribosomal RNA", at positions 355 to 896 of the family's 1533-position model. The record is from RNAcentral.
UGGGGAAUCUUCCGCAAUGGACGAAAGUCUGACGGAGCAACGCCGCGUGAGUGAUGACGGCCUUCGGGUUGUAAAGCUCUGUUAAUCGGGACGAAUGGUUCUUGUGCAAAUAGUGCGAGGAUUUGACGGUACCGGAAUAGAAAGCCACGGCUAACUACGUGCCAGCAGCCGCGGUAAUACGUAGGUGGCAAGCGUUGUCCGGAAUUAUUGGGCGUAAAGCGCGCGCAGGCGGAUUGGUCAGUCUGUCUUAAAAGUUCGGGGCUUAACCCCGUGAUGGGAUGGAAACUGCCAAUCUAGAGUAUCGGAGAGGAAAGUGGAAUUCCUAGUGUAGCGGUGAAAUGCGUAGAUAUUAGGAAGAACACCAGUGGCGAAGGCGACUUUCUGGACGAAAACUGACGCUGAGGCGCGAAAGCCAGGGGAGCGAACGGGAUUAGAUACCCCGGUAGUCUUGGCCGUAAACGAUGGGUACUAGGUGUAGGAGGUAUCGACCCCUUCUGUGCCGGAGUUAACGCAAUAAGUACCCCGCCUGGGGAGUACGACCGCAAGGUUG